GCAGCAGCAGCAUUUCGGGCUGCAGCUUCUUGCAGUGGCGAAUUUCACAGGCUGGCUGCGUGCGAGGCACACGGAGAACAAAAUCAGCAGCACGCGCAGGCAAAAUAAACGUUACCGAGAGAACAGCCACGAGGAGCGCUGGCGGUGUCGAACGUCCCCGUCCCCCCGUGCCUCCGCCGCGACCCGCUGUGCUUUGCCACCGGCUCCGAAGGCAGCGACGGCGGCAGGCCCGGAGCACGGCCUUCCCGGCGGGCAGCUAAGCCCCUCUCCCAAGACUCCCACCACGAAGCGUAAGAAAGCUGCAAGAGCCGCUGGACGCCGCGCUGCUGAACCGAAGGCUCAGAGACGCGCUGCGGCGGCCGCGCUGCCCUCGAACUCGCCACGUCCUGGUUAAGCUGAAUAUAGGUGCAAAAACACGAGGGUGGGCAGGCCGAGGACGGGCUGUGUCGUGGGAUGUGACCCGGGCUCCGAGCGAGGCUCCGGGAUUCGCCCCUCGCAGCCUCCGGGGCCGUCGAAGCAGCAGCGCGGCGGCCGGCGGCUGCUCUCGAGCUGGGGCAAAGGUGCUGCAAGGGGAGCGACUGCAUUUAAACAAGGAUUUACCGUAAGGAAAAUGUGUCUCUCCUCUCCUUUCUGGUACCAAGCCUGAACAGCGUUUUAUUCACGAGCACCUGGAAAGGAAACACCAACAUUCAGGCAGUUUCUUACUUCCCAAAUGCAGCCCCUUUCCCCACCAGGUGCCCGAUUUAUCCAGGUUUCGGAGCUGUAAAUUCAAAGCUGCUAUGUUUUUCUAGCAUGUUAUUUUCUUUCUGCCCUCACUAGUUCAGUAAGGAAUAUUUGCUGCACUGAAGAAGUUAAUUUAUGAGGAGCUUUUAUAUUUUUAAGCCUCAGCUCCAGACAUCACAUGAAAACACAGGGGGGAAAAUUGCCUUUUUUUUUUCUUUCUUUCUUAAAGUGAAUUUCUAUCUCCAGGGGUUGCAGAGGGAAGUUAGGAAGCACCAAGCAAGCGUAAUUCAAAGGCUUAAAAGCCAGAGGAAAAUUAACAGAGACGAGCUCCUGCAAGGGUGAAGGUGGCUGCUAGAUGCUUGUGUGAGCGUGAAAGCGCAGCCAAGGCCACCGGGCGCCCGGGUUUUUGCCGCACGGUUCUGGAGCUGUUUAUCCCCGUGGCGUCACUGCUUCACUGCACGCUUCGCUGGCGCGUCCCGAAAUAAUCGUUACAGGGCAGAGGAGACCUAAAGGCUGAGGCCGCUUCCCCCUCGUUUUUAGGAAUGUGCAACUAAAAGGUGGUUUAAAUGUUACCGCAUGCUUGAAGAGUCAAAUGGACCAGGUAUGCCCUGAUGUAAAAUAAUGUCUGAUGUAAAAUAAAAUAAUAUGCUGCCGGAAGAGGCUGCGACCUGCAAAGUCUCCCAAAAUUAUGCAUCAGCUACAUUUAGUGCUUUCAUUUGAAAGCAAUCAGCACGUUCGAUACAGGAAGAAGUUAAAAAAAAAAUCCAGCAACACAGGAAGCCUCUGUGUCUAAUAUAUUGGUAUAAAACAUGAUUGAUAUUUUAUGCUAAUUAAUUGAAUUCCAUCCAUCACCCUGAUUUGGAGGAGGAAAAAUGUAAUUUGUUUUUACUUUACCUUCAUUUCCAUACUCCAAUCAGAGGGAUUGGAGAACUACAACCGAAAUUGCCAGGUUUUGCAUUGUUUCGGUCUGAAAUCACUGAAAAACAGAGGAGUUUCUGCAGAAGAGGCAUUUCUGUAACACUUUGAAAGGAAUAAAUUUAUUGGUCACUUUUUCUUCAGUUAUAUAGGAACCUUUCACAGUUCCAGCCAAUAUCACAAAACUCCUGCAGUUCACUUGAAACUCGGCCCAGAUCUGUCCAAAACUUGGAUCAGGCUCAUAAACCUCAGACGAGUUUUAAGCUGAUGAUGAAUUAAGGUACAAAGUGAAUAUUUUCUCCUCCUGGAAUUUGUUAUUAAAAGUCCUGAGUUUCCAAAGUGGACAGAUAGUUCCUAACCGAGUAAUUAAUUACCUUCACCACGUCCUCUUUAGGUUGCAAGCUAUACAUUAAUGGAGCCCAAUCAUCCAAAAGGCACUUAGCACCUGAACAUUUUUCUCGAAAAGGGCAGGGGAGCCGUUUCACUGAUUUAUUUUUACAAGUAAUGGUUGGCUUGUAGCUCCCCUCGAAGCAGCUUCUUCCAGAUCCUUGGCAUUUGGCGGUCAGGAUGGAUACGGAUCUUGUGAACUCUUCUCAUCCCUCACAGAAAAACGCACAACAAAUUAAAACGAUCAGACGCUCCCUGGUCAAAAAUGUUGCAUUUUGAAUCCUGUCAAUGGAAAUAAAACCUGUAUUUUCUGGAAAAAUU
Molecule: long non-coding RNA, 2346 nt
Organism: Rhea pennata
Lineage: Eukaryota; Metazoa; Chordata; Aves; Rheiformes; Rheidae
Exons: 2
Source: RefSeq, a predicted model, not a curated record